This 1182-nucleotide ribosomal RNA is filed under the name Triticum aestivum (bread wheat). RNAcentral's name for it is "partial small subunit ribosomal RNA". Lineage: Eukaryota; Viridiplantae; Streptophyta; Magnoliopsida; Poales; Poaceae. The record is from RNAcentral.
AUGUCCCAGCUAGAUGAGUCGUCCGACACAGGUGUUCUGCAGCUCCAGUCGUUGGAGCUUGAUAUCAAGACACUACAGCGCUACCGUGAGGAGGACAAGAAAGAAUUCCAGGAUUUCGAAUCCAUGGUCAACAAGAACUUCGUCACAAUGCAGCAAAAUUUUGACAAGAUUCAGGACAACUUCAAGCGCUUGUUGCUGCUUCCUGAACCAGUAGAGAUCCCUGAUGAGCAGUCGGCACAGGGGAGUGCACAGCCCAAACAACAACAACUUCAUUCUCCAAUCAUUGCGCCGGGCAGGCCUAAACAGCUGCUUGCAAACACACCACCUUCAGUAGCUAUGGUGGAAAAGGAGGCCCCUCCCAUCAUAGGGACUGCAACGUUGAGAGAUAAUGCAGGAAAAGAACUCAACUUGGAUGGUACACCGAAAGUGCCUUAUCGCCAUCCCAAUUUUGCAAGCACCAGAGCUUUGGCACCCCAACAACCACAACAAGUUCCACAUCCACAGCAACAACCAGUUCAAAUGGAAGAGAAGGCACAUGAGGAAGGGCCAGAUGGAGUAGAUAGAGGUAGAAGACCUCACUCCCCAUUUGAAGAUAGAAGGAAUGUGCUCACAGUGAAGCCGGCCAAACUGAACAUUUCUGAAUUCAGUGGCACUGAUCCAGAAUCAUGGAUUCAGAACUUGGAGCAAUACUUUGCAGCUGCUAGAACCCCCUUAGAGCACAGAACUGAGUUAGCAGUUUCUUAUUUGCAAGGCCCUGCUAUACAGUGGUGGAGAGGAACUGGAUUUUCACCCCAUAAUGUGGAGUGUUUUAAACCACCAGAUAUGCAAACAGCAGUAUGGUAUGCCAGGAGAAUGGAAAAAGCUAGUGUCCCUGCCCAACCUAAAACUUAUGUUCCCCAGCCUAAAAGGCAAGUGGUGUUUGACCAAGCAAAGCCACCCCUAGCUGCUCCAACACAAAACAGAAACACAGUCAUCCAGCAGGCAAAACAGAACAAAGUCUUCUACAAAUGCAGAGAACCUUGGGUGCCUGGCCAUCGACAAGUAUGUCGAAUGAGCCAAAAAGCACAAAUACAGGCAUUACAAGUACAGGAAGAAGAAAAUGCAGAAAUCAUUUAUGUUACAGACUUUGAAGAUCCUGAGUUGGACCAAGCUGCACCUCCUCCUGAUAAUGCUGUACUAUAG